AUUCCCAGAAGCAAGAGGAGGAACACAUCCACAUUAGGUACAAUGCUUGUUUGCACAUAAGCAUUCAUCAUAGAAUUUCCCUCAAGAUGGGGGUCAGCUGCACGUUGGUAUACAGGAGUCCUGGAUCAGGAAAGUGUGUGGUACUGGCUGAUGUGAGUUACUCACAAGUUACAGACGGGGUAAACUGAUGGAAUCCUGUGGCUGGAAUGAAGGCGAGACUGAAAGAGCAUAAAGUUGGACAGAGCUUUCUGACACAAACACCUACUGUUUGUGUUCAGUUCCAAGUGUUAUCAUAUGCUGUUUGCUCCGUGGGAAAAGAAGAGAAGGAGACAGAGUGAAAGGGAGGCUGAGAACUGUGGAAGUUAACCUGUUCACAUCAGAUAUGCCUUGCUUCUCCAUUACCUUCCAUCAUGAUUGUAAGUUUCCUGAGAUCUCCCCAGCCAUGCAGAACUGUGAG
Cercocebus atys (sooty mangabey) is the source of this 457-nucleotide long non-coding RNA. RefSeq lists it as uncharacterized. The record is from RefSeq and is a predicted model, not a curated record. The transcript has 4 exons. Lineage: Eukaryota; Metazoa; Chordata; Mammalia; Primates; Cercopithecidae.